RNAcentral lists this ribosomal RNA (218 nucleotides) under Klebsiella pneumoniae. Its description in RNAcentral is "partial 23S ribosomal RNA". It matches the Rfam family "Bacterial large subunit ribosomal RNA", at positions 1664 to 1865 of the family's 2925-position model. The record is from RNAcentral. Lineage: Bacteria; Pseudomonadati; Pseudomonadota; Gammaproteobacteria; Enterobacterales; Enterobacteriaceae.
UGGUCAGGUAGAGAAUACCAAGGCGCUUGAGAGAACUCGGGUGAAGGAACUAGGCAAAAUGGUGCCGUAACUUCGGGAGAAGGCACGCUGGUGUGUAGGUGAAGCCCCUGCGGGUGGAGCUGAGACCAGUCGAAGAUACCAGCUGGCUGCAACUGUUUAUUAAAAACACAGCACUGUGCAAACACGAAAGUGGACGUAUACGGUGUGACGCCUGCCCG